This 1522-nucleotide ribosomal RNA is filed under the name marine sediment metagenome. Its description in RNAcentral is "bacterial LSU rRNA". It matches the Rfam family "Bacterial large subunit ribosomal RNA", at positions 481 to 1988 of the family's 2925-position model. The record is from RNAcentral.
UGACCGAUAGUGAACCAGUACCGUGAGGGAAAGGCGAAAAGAACCCCUGUGAGGGGAGUGAAAUAGAUCCUGAAACCGUGUGCAUACAAGCAGUAGGAGCAGACUUGUUCUGUGACUGCGUACCUUUUGUAUAAUGGGUCAGCGACUUAUUGUCUGUAGCAAGGUUAACCGAUUAGGGGAGCCGUAGGGAAACCGAGUCUUAAUAGGGCGCGAGUUGCAGGCAUUAGACCCGAAACCCGGCGAUCUAUCCAUGGCCAGGUUGAAGGUGCCGUAACAGGCACUGGAGGACCGAACCCACUUAUGUUGAAAAAUGAGGGGAUGAGCUGUGGAUCGGAGUGAAAGGCUAAUCAAGCCGGGAGAUAGCUGGUUCUCCCCGAAAACUAUUUAGGUAGUGCGUCACAUCUUACCCUCGGGGGUAGAGCACUGUUUGGGCUAGGGGGUCAUCCCGACUUACCAACCCCAUGCAAACUCCGAAUACCGAGGAGUACAAUUGUGGCAGACAGACAGCGGGUGCUAACGUCCGUUGUCAAGAGGGAAACAACCCAGACCGCCAGCUAAGGUCCCAAAUGCUAGUUAAGUGGGAAACGAUGUGGGAAGGCUUAGACAGCUAGGAGGUUGGCUUAGAAGCAGCCAUUCUUUAAAGAAAGCGUAAUAGCUCACUAGUCGAGUCGGCCUGCGCGGAAGAUUUAACGGGGCUAAAUUAGCAACCGAAGCUGCGGAUGCUUUCGAGCAUGGUAGGGGAGCGUUCUGUAAGCCGUUGAAGGUGAAUUGAGAAGUUUGCUGGAGGUAUCAGAAGUGCGAAUGCUGACAUAAGUAACGAUAAUGGGAGUGAAAAACUCCCACGCCGGAAGAUCAAGGUUUCCUGUCCAACGUUAAUCGGGACAGGGUUAGUCGACCCCUAAGGCGAGGCUGAGAAGCGUAGUCGAUGGGAAACAGGUUAACAUUCCUGUACUUUUUAUUACUGCGAUGGAGGGACGGAGUAGGCUAGGUUAUCACGGCGUUGGUUGUCCGUGUUCAAGGCUGUAGGCAAGUGACUUAGGUAAAUCCGGGUUGCUCUCUUUAAUGAGAAUGCUGAGAGUUGAUGACGAGUCUCGUAAGAGACGAAGUAAUUGAUGCCAUGCUUCCAAGAAAAGCUUCUAAGCUUCAGGUAAUAGAGAAUCGUACUGUAAACCGACACAGGUGAUCAGGUAGAGAAUACCCAGGCGCUUGAGAGAACUCGGGUGAAGGAACUAGGCAAAAUGGCACCGUAACUUCGGGAGAAGGUGCGCCGGUGUUGGUGAUUGGACUUGCUCCAUGAGCUGACGCUGGUCGAAGAUACCAGGCCGCUGCGACUGUUUAUUAAAAACACAGCACUCUGCAAACACGAAAGUGGACGUAUAGGGUGUGACGCCUGCCCGGUGCCGGAAGGUUAAUUGAUGGGGUUAGUCCUCGGACGAAGCUCUUGAUCGAAGCCCCGGUAAACGGCGGCCGUAACUAUAACGGUCCUAAGGUAGCGAAAUUCCUUGUCGGGUAAGUUCCGACC